Molecule: long non-coding RNA, 174 nt
Organism: Colossoma macropomum (tambaqui)
Lineage: Eukaryota; Metazoa; Chordata; Actinopteri; Characiformes; Serrasalmidae
Exons: 4
Source: RefSeq, a predicted model, not a curated record
GAGAGAGAGAGAGAGAGCGGUCAGUCAUGCAGUCCUGCAGUUCUGCUCUCUGUAUCCUGAUCCUGAUCUCUACAGUCACUACUGUGUCUGUAUCAGCUGGUCCUUCAAUGAAGGUGAAAUGAAGCGGGAAGGCCUUGCAUAUUUCAGCAAGACAAUAAACCACAUACUGCAUCC